UGCUAUAUUUGAAAUUACAUUAGAUUGCAAGAACAAAGAUGCCCUUUUGAUGCUCUGUAGCAGCACUGGAGAUAAUGAAAGGAGAGGAAUCUCGAUAAGGAUGAAAGAUAGCUUCCUUCAGCCUCCCCUCGCUGAUAAAGUGCUUCCCAGAUGAAGAGAAUUUAGAAUAAAAAGCAGCACAAAAGUAAAACAAAGUAAACACAGCCCGGCGUUGCUCUAACAAGAUAAAAUUACACCGUGGAGAGGAGACCAACAGGACAAUAAAGAGAAGCGUUCAGGGGAACGGGGAGAAGGACAGCACGAAUUCGAGACAGGGGAGCAGAGAUCCCCAGAGCAACUACGAGGGGAAGAGCAGCUGGGAGAGAUGUGGAAGGUGUGAAGUUUGGGUACCCACAUCCCUCAAUGCCCCUUUUGCUGAAAAGGGGAGCUCCAGGAGGCAGCAAUGCUGCGAUCACCUCCUUCAUAGGAAGGGAAAGGUGCUGAUUUUCUACGGCUGCUGCCAUUAAUUGGGUUUUAACGUGAUGCAGCUGCUGGCAGGGGCAUAAAGGGGGCUGCAGAGGGCUGGAGCAGGCAGCUGGGUCUUGCAGAAGGCUGUGGGCAGGCUCUGAGCCCUGUGCCAAUGGGUCAGCCACCCCAUGGGGUCUGGGCACGAUGCAGGAUCUGCCCCUGUGCAUCCCCACCUUUCCCCUAAAGCACAGGUUUGAUGCAGGGUUUUGGGGUGCACACCCAGCUGAGGCCUCGUGCUGGCUCUUUGCUGUGCUUUGAGGCUCAAUGUUGAUUUUUGGCCCCUUGGUGCCCUUUUUGGGCCCCAGCUGCUCUCAGCCAUCGCCGGCUGCGAUCGGUGCGGCACUCAGCUCCCUCGGCUUCGAAGGACGCAGCGUGUGGUCCGCUCCGCCGCUGCCAUGGCAACGCUGGGAUGCAAAACCAUGGUUUAAAACCCAAAACAAAUAAAUCCUCCACACCACAAAGCCCAAAGCAUCCUUCUCGCCUUGCUUUCCCCGGCCCAUUUUGUUUUCCCCUCUUGGGACCCGACGAGGAGCUGGUGCUGCCAGGCAAUGACUGCGGUGUCCUGGGUUCCUCGUGUGCCCGUCUCCCGAGGCCAUGUCUUGGGCAGACACUGCUGGACAGGUGUGCUGAUUUCCUCCUGGAUUUAACGAAGGGAAGAUGAGCAGGACCCAGAUAACUGACCUGGUUUAAAGCACUUGGCGGAUUUUAACAACAAAAAAAAAAAGGAGUCCCUCUGGAUUUGAGAAACUUCAGCUGAAGUUUUACCACUUGCAGCAAAUUUGAACCUCACCAGGUAACUUCAUUUGGUUCCCUUAAUGAAGGCUGCACAGCAGGGUUAAUUCUGCUUUCUAUGUAAAAAGAUUAAGUAGUAGUUGGGUAAAACACUUCAUCACUGAAGUGAUUUUCAGGAUGUACUCACUCCGAAGGCACAGAUGUAAUACCUGCUUUUAAAUUCAAUUAGCUCUGACUCAGUUGUGUUGCCUGAAUACAUUACCACAGCUUGAGACAGUCAGUGUUAUUCUUUAAAGCUGGAAAAAAAAAAAAAAAAAGGAAGAAAAAAAAAAAACUAUUUGGAGAUUUCCCUAAAUGUGUUUUAAUUCCCUCAAUAUGUCAUGUGCCUUAACAGCUCCUGCCACUCGCAGCUGGGGUUUCCCCUUCCCUGCCACCACGCAGGCAUGGGGGGCUCAGGUAGGCUGAUGGGGGCUGGAUGCUGCUAUGUCCAUGCCCCUAUUUCACAGCUUUUUUCCUCUUUUUUUGACACCCUCAUUACUUGAAAUCUUUGGCUUUUGGGGGUUUUCCUUCCAAGGCUGCCUCUGACCUGCCACAUGCCCCCAGGCAUCCCCCCCACCUCUUCAACUACCUGUUUAUUAAAUUUUCAUACGACAUCAGAGGGAGAGGCUAUUUGGAAGCUAAAUUAAUUAAUGCUUGUAAAGCAUUUUGAGAUCCAAGGAUGAAAGGCGCAAUAGAAAUGCAAUUUAUUUUAUAAUUAUUGAAACAACCCCGCAAAACAACGAGGCUCUGGAUGGCAUAGGAUGGUUUAUUUUAAUUAAAUCUGGGGCUGUGGUGUUAUGUUUCCACGCCACGCUGGGCAGGAACCUCCUGGAGAUGCCAUCCGCAGGGCUCUUCCCAGUAUGGGUGGCUGAUGCUGGUGCUUGGGGCUG
Molecule: long non-coding RNA, 2168 nt
Filed under: Anas platyrhynchos platyrhynchos (common mallard)
Lineage: Eukaryota; Metazoa; Chordata; Aves; Anseriformes; Anatidae
Description: lncRNA (ENSAPLG00000026174.1)
Source: RNAcentral